Molecule: long non-coding RNA, 2815 nt
Organism: Anolis carolinensis (green anole)
Lineage: Eukaryota; Metazoa; Chordata; Lepidosauria; Squamata; Anolidae
Exons: 2
Source: RefSeq, a predicted model, not a curated record
GCGCCUUGACUCUUCCUGCCAUUGCCUUGACACUCCUUUAUUUUCUUAGGAACCAUUGUAAACAGUGGUGCUUUCUAUUCAUUCAAUAGUCAUUCAAGGAAAAUACAAUGGCCUGCCAGUCUGGUUUCUAAGACACUUUUCUUUUAACAGACUAAUAAUGAUGAUGAUAAUAAUAAUAACAGUCCUAAACACUUGAGAAGUGUUUGACUUGUGAUUUUGUGAUAUGAAAUCCAUCAUAUAUAUCUUGUUUGCUGUGUCAUUCUGUGUCUUUGUGUCAAUAAUUAUAAUAAUAAUACAUUGUCUGCCUUUCCUGAAGGCUCAACAUUAAAAGCUGGAUGGUGUCCUACCAAUUGAACAAAAAUUAGAUGUGUUUGAUGACAAAAAGAUGCAAUUUUCUAAGUACCUGUUAUGAAGAAUGGUAAAUAGACAGUCAGCCCUCCACAUUUGCUAGGAACCCUAAAUGCAAAUAAAUAAAUUGCUGUUUUGUUUUGCUUUUACCUGAGAUAACAUUUCUUUAGGAAUUUCUUGAACUUCCAGCACCACACCAUGAUUGACUUCUGGAAGCUCACUGUAGAAUCACACUGGGGGAGCCAGAGAUUCCCAGAGAAAACAUCAUCAAAUUUAUGCAAAAAUUAUAACUGCAAAUGUGGAGGGAUUACUGGACGUUUUAAAGAUGUUAAAAAUAGAAAUACAUGCAACCUUGUGGGAGGAAGUGCCUACGUAUUGUUUUGUUCCAAAAGUAGCACACAGAUAACGGUUGCAGUGGAAGUAUUAUAGGGAAUUGGUUGUUCUUAGUAUAUUCCUCCUGUAGAGAAUAGAAUACAUAAUAUAUACAUAUUAAUAUAUUGCAAUUUAUCAAUAACGAGGACCUGAAAGACAAGUAGAGCUCACCAUUUAUUUAUUUAUUUGUAUCUUGCUUUCUGUCUCAAGGAGACUCAGAGCAGCUAUUUGAUAAUCCACAUAAGUUUUUGACCCAUCUAUUUACAGAUUAAAUUUUAGCUCACAUUGUUGGGUCUCAUUGAAUUAUGCUUAUACAUCACUGAAUGCUGUUUACCUUUUAUUAUUAUGUUGAUUGCAGUGCUUUUUCUUCAACACUUUCCAGUUGUCUUUUGCAACACUGUUUUAUCGCUUUUACAGUUCUCUUUUAAAAAGGAGAAUAUGAAUUUAUAUAGUUAGUAUACAGAAUAGUUCUUGCUUAUUGUACUUUUGGUGUAAACAUCACUACUUGGUAGUAGUAUGCGUUUUAUCUCUUCCUAAAAUGUGUAAAUACCCAAGGGAGGAGAUGUUUAUUAUUUGUUAUUGAUAUGAACCCUUGAGCCAUUUUGGUAUAUUUCUAGGCGCUGAUGAAGAAGUGGUUGGAUUCUAAAAGAUUUGGAAAGAACUGUCAUAACUUUGGUGGCUGCAAAUAUUUAGGCACUAGGCUUUUGAAGUAUUGGAUAAUUUAACCAGCAAUACAUACUGAUACUAUUUUCUUCUACAGAUCAAGAGUACUAAACAGAUGAUCCCAGAAGUAAGGUUUGGGGAUUCCUGUAUUUGCAGAUUCAACUCCUUGAAGAGAAUUUGGCCAAGGUCAAAUAUGUAACUAUUCCUUUCCUCAAAGGCAGAGGUGGGAUGGGCAGCAAAACAUUUUAGUUUUUGAAGUCUUUCAAAUUCCUGGAAGGAGAUUCAAUAUGUAAGAACUUCAACAAUUUUUCUUUUCUCAGGUUUGAAAAGCCUUGCUUAUUAAAAGAUCAUAGCCCUUUAAGCAUCCCUCCCAAUUGUUCCAGCUUGCAGUCAAUUGAGCUCAGGAAUUUUCAAGCACGCACAUUGGCAUUGCUUUAUGUAUGCUAUUGAUGUGUCAUGCUUCCAUUGAAAUGGAUUUCCAGUAGAUCCUUUCUAAGCAGACUGAAGAUUGCAUUGGAAGUUUGUGCUGUCACGCACUUAUCGAGCUUCUCUUUAAAAGAGUAAUUUUCUGUUCAUUUGCCUUAAUUGUCUUUGUUAAAUAUUCUAGACGCUUGUUUCAGUUUCUGCCUGUCAGAGGUUUAGCAAAAGGCUUGACAAGAUGAUGUGCUUAAAACUUCUUUUAUAUAUUGAUAAUGAAUCAUUUUAUUUGACAUUUUUGAAAUGCGAUGACUGGAGUACCUUGAUAAAAGUACAAAAGCUAACAUUUUAUUUGUAAUGACUGGUGGUUUUGUCUAGCUGGAUGUUUUAGUUGUAUAAGCAUUGGAAGAUGGCAAAGGUUCAUAGUAUUUUUCUCUUUUUAUCUGAACUAAUUGUUGUGUUUCACAUCAGCAUAUUGUUGGAUCUAUUCUGAAUAAAAUGUUUCCUAUCAAAAUACUCUGUUUUUAUAGUAUAGGAACCCGGGCCUUUCAUCUCUAUGCAGUUUAUGCCUCUUAAGUUUUCUUUUAAAACACUGACCAUAAAUGGCCCAAGCAAAAUAUAGCUGAGAUCCUACUGCAGUGUAGCAUAAAUAACUCCCAGCACAAAUAUCUAUUGAUUGCUUUAUGCAUUUAUUAUACUGGAAAUCCACAAUAGUGCAAGCUUGUGAAACCACUGGUAAAUGUCAUUGGUUGAAACUCUCUUAGGCAAUUGUAAUGCGUAGAGUGAUGCACAUUGGUUACUAUUCCAUUUCUGCAUUUAUUGUGAGUUCCUGCAUGACACGGGGUUAGACUGGAUGGUCCUUGUGGCCUCUGCCAACUCUAUGACUCUACCUUGAUCCUCUGCACACAUGUUGCCAAAGGAGAGGUCCAUGCAUAAAACAUACACGUCAUAUGUAUGGACCUCCCCUUUGUACCUUCAUCCAAUAAAAAUGCUUCAAGCAUGUAUUGCAACUUAA